GAUGAAGAACGCAGCGAAAUGCGAUAAGUAAUGUGAAUUGCAGAAUUCAGUGAAUCAUCGAAUCUUUGAACGCACAUUGCGCCCCUUGGUAUUCCGAGGGGCAUGCCUGUUCGAGCGUCAUUAUAACCCCUCAAGCUCAGCUUGGUGUUGGGGCCUGCUGCACUGGCAGCCCUUAAAAUCAGUGGCGGCGCCAUCUGGCUCUAAGCGUAGUAAUUCUUCUCGCUAUGGAGUCCUGGUGGAUGCUUGCCAUCAACCCCCAAUUUUUCUAUGGUUGACCUCGGAUCAGGUAGGAAUACCCGCUGAACUUAAGCAUAUCAAUAAGCGGAGGA
Molecule: unclassified non-coding RNA, 329 nt
Filed under: soil metagenome
Description: partial contains 5.8S ribosomal RNA, internal transcribed spacer 2, and large subunit ribosomal RNA
Rfam family: 5.8S ribosomal RNA (bases 1-120)
Source: RNAcentral